UCGAGUUAGGGUCUCUCAGGCCCGACCUCCAACCCUUUGUUUACUCAACCACGUUGCUUCGGCGAGCCCGCUCCUCCGGGGGCCGUCGGGGGGGUGCAAAACCCCUUUGGCCCGCGCUCGUCGGUGGCCCCAAUCAUAACUCUUGUCAAAAUAUGUCGUCUGAAGUAUAAAAUUAAAUAAAAGCA
This 185-nucleotide unclassified non-coding RNA is filed under the name uncultured Orbiliales. RNAcentral's name for it is "sequence contains ITS1". Lineage: Eukaryota; Fungi; Ascomycota; Orbiliomycetes; Orbiliales. The record is from RNAcentral.